AAAGAGGUCCCAAGCGUUGUUCGGAUUCAAUGGGCGUAAAGGGUGCGUAGGUGGCGAAGUAAGUCGGAUGUGAAAUCUCCGAGCUCAACUCGGAAACUGCAUUGGAAACUACUGUGCUUGAGGGCUGGAGGGGAGGCUAGAAUACUUGGUGUAGCAGUGAAAUGCGUAGAUAUCAAGUGGAACACCAAAGGCGAAGGCGGGUCCCUAGACCACAACUGACGCUGAGCCGCGAAAGUUAGGGGAGCAAACAG
Molecule: ribosomal RNA, 251 nt
Filed under: uncultured prokaryote
Description: partial 16S rRNA
Rfam family: Bacterial small subunit ribosomal RNA
Source: RNAcentral